UUGAACGCUGGCGGCAGGCCUAACACAUGCAAGUCGCGCGGAUGAAGGGAGCUUGCUCCUGGAUUCAGCGGCGGACGGGUGAGUAAUGCCUAGGAAUCUGCCUGGUAGUGGGGGAUAACGUCCGGAAACGGGCGCUAAUACCGCAUACGUCCUGAGGGAGAAAGUGGGGGAUCUUCGGACCUCACGCUAUCAGAUGAGCCUAGGUCGGAUUAGCUAGUUGGUGGGGUAAAGGCCUACCAAGGCGACGAUCCGUAACUGGUCUGAGAGGAUGAUCAGUCACACUGGAACUGAGACACGGUCCAGACUCCUACGGGAGGCAGCAGUGGGGAAUAUUGGACAAUGGGCGAAAGCCUGAUCCAGCCAUGCCGCGUGUGUGAAGAAGGUCUUCGGAUUGUAAAGCACUUUAAGUUGGGAGGAAGGGCAGUAAGUUAAUACCUUGCUGUUUUGACGGUACCAACAGAAUAAGCACCGGCUAACUUCGUG
Molecule: ribosomal RNA, 483 nt
Filed under: uncultured bacterium
Lineage: Bacteria
Description: partial 16S ribosomal RNA
Rfam family: Bacterial small subunit ribosomal RNA
Source: RNAcentral